Long non-coding RNA from Canis lupus familiaris (dog), 1051 nucleotides. RefSeq lists it as uncharacterized. NCBI's taxonomy places the organism in Eukaryota, Metazoa, Chordata, Mammalia, Carnivora, Canidae. The record is from RefSeq and is a predicted model, not a curated record. The transcript has 7 exons.
CACCAGGCUCCCAGUGUCCUAGUGAAUGAACUAUGGAGAGGAUGGAGGGAUACUUUCAGGAUUCUGGUGUCACACAUUCUAUAUGAAAAGUGGUUGUAUAUUGCACUCCACUUUACAAAUGAAAUAAAACACUGGAAGAAGACAUACAUAAGAGAAAAAGCAUUGCUCUCAGCUUUUACGCUGCUUCCUACUUUAUUUGGGACUCUGUCCUCUACCCAGACAUCGGUCAUUUGAGAUCCGUGCCAGGGAGAGAAGAAUAUCCUUUUGGUCUGUGGAAGCUUGAAGAAUAGAGUGGAGCUUGCUGUGGGGGCGCAGCAGAAUAAUGUAGCAAGUUGAAAUUAAAUAAUUGAAGUUUCUGGAACUUGAACUUCUGGACGUGUGGAUGCCAUAUUUUAUUUUGAAUAAAACAACAAAGAUAUUUGGCUGCUCUGGGGGAGAAUCUGCUGUUUCCAGGCUCAUCUGGGUUCUUAGAAUUCAGUUCCAAGCAGUCACCAUUUCAUUGCCGGCAUUUGUCUAAGAGCCCUCUGCAGUUUCUGGAGGCUGCUCAGAUGACCUUCAGCUUCAAAACCAGCACAGAUGUCUACUAUGUUUUACAAUCCAAAAAAUCAGCCAGAACACGAUGUGCUACUUUGUCAUGAUAUCUCCAUGGGAUUCUAGUUCUUUCAGCUGUACCUACCCAACAUGCCUCUUUAUGGUGAAUGUCACCUCACAGCUGAAGCAAGUUUAUGGGGCACUGCAGUUCCCCGGGCGUUCUUUGUUCAGUGGAGAACCAGAGAACUUCAGUCUCGGGGACUGUGAAUCCACCAGCUUUCAUCAGUCUGAAAUGCAUUUUAAAUCAGUGUCAGACUGGCUGCAAAAUUUAUGUCGCCAACUUCAUAGUAACUCCAGCUGUCCCACAGUCCUAAUAACACCCAGUGCUCCAGGGUGUCUACUGAAGACGUAAUGCAACAAUGGAGUGUGAAAUAUGCUGGAAUCUAGAAGGAUCACUGGCUGAAUGUGAGCCUUGCAAUGUCCGCCACACGCAAGGACUAACUUCUGAAAAUAAAGUACU